ACUUAGUUGUUGUUUCUGCAAGAGCAGUGCCUCUUGGUCUCAAGACUGAGAUUUAAUUUGCUCACCGUAGGAUAUAAUUAGUAUCACUUAUGCUUUACAUGAUAUUGUACGUCAGCCUUCUGUUUUAGUUUCACAAAACAUUGGCCAGGCUCCCCAAUCUUCUUAUCACGCACUUGAUUCUUUAUAUAUCUCUUAUUUUGAGACUGUGGGUGUUGUGUCAUCUACUCCUAUUUAGCUUGACUUAAGCAAUGUACUGUGUGUAUGCACAGGCUCCAUAGAUUUUUCUUUUGAAUUUCUGUGUGAAAUUGAUGCCUUUGUGUUUAGCUAGAUCAAUAAUUUGAAAUUUGGAGCUUUGAGUGAGACUUGAUACAGCCUACAGUUCGGGCGAAUGCUUUUUCGACAGAGCCAAGGAUAUGCAUGGUGUUCAGGCGCUUAACUCAAAGAGACUACAGCCGAUGGGGUAACUUCUGGGUUUACAACAUGCCUACGAGAAAUUGAAAUCUCGAGUCGCUUGAUGCACUUGGUUUACAUAGAUGAGGCACAUGGACAGUGUUUGUUAGAACUAAUCUUGUUAAUUUGUAGUUCAUCGUGUUUAUUUAUUUGAGUUGUUCAUGUUAUCGAGAUGUCUAGGCGGAAAGCUGCGGCCGUGUGCACUGUAGAGAUGUGUUCAGGUGUACAAGGUAAUGCUUAGUCGUGUCAUCAUAGAUUAGCUUGGUGUUGUGCAUGUAUGGCACCAAGUCUGGACGCUGUUAGUUAGUUAGUUGCAUGCCUAGUGAGUAGGAGGAGAGUUCCACGUACAUGCAUGAAUUGAUUGAGCUAGCUCUUAGAGAUAGGAUUAGCAGUGGACUUGGUAAUCACCCGUUGUGCAGAGAGAUAGAGCACGUCUUCCGUUGCGAGGAGAGUGGCCGAAUGGUGUGGCCGACGUGGUUGCUUGUUCCUAUCUUCUGGCUAGUGGAGAUAAGCAUUCGUGGGCUUGCUGAGUGUAUGUACGUAGCACUAUUUAUAGGCAUUGUAACCAGCUGAGUUCAUUGAGUUGAAUAAGAGAAAAAAGGCACGAAGGUGCGGUGCCAGAAAAAGUCUCUGUGUGUUCUUCUCCAAUGUGUAUAUGUGUGUGUUGAUCCUUGGGCAAAUUCUGUCAUUUGGUAUCAGAGCCAGCUGCGAGGUUCGUGUCUUCAUCGCCGUCAAGCUGCGUCACGAGCGAAGGAGGAAGAUGUGCUGCCCGGUAAGUCACGUCGCCGACAGCAAGGAGUUGAUGGCCAUGACGCAGAGGCCAUCGCCAUGAUGAGUUCGCCGUUCAUGUCCGAGUCGUCGACAAGGUGCGGCAUCGACGAUAACAUGAAGACGAGUCACCGGCGAGCUGCGUCACCGGUGGCGAACAUGGAGGCGAGCCACCGGCGAGGUGCGGCACCGGCGGCGAACAUGCGGCAGCGAGUGUGUCAUGAUGGCAUGCUCGCGGUGAAGGAGUAGGAGGUGUGUCUCUCGCCGAGGCCAACAGAGAUGGUGACAAAUCGGUGUGAGAAGUUGGCAAUGGCGGCCAUCUACGUGUUGCACUGACGACAUCGACAGCCAUGGCUUCAAGAGAGGAAUAAGUAACAACAAUAUUAGGGAGGUGAUUGUUAGAACUAAUCUUGUUAAUUUGUAGUUCAUCGUGUUUAUUUAUUUGAGUUGUUCAUGUUAUCGAGAUGUCUAGGCGGAAAGCUGCGGCCGUGUGCACUGUAGAGAUGUGUUCAGGUGUACAAGGUAAUGCUUAGUCGUGUCAUCAUAGAUUAGCUUGGUGUUGUGCAUGUAUGGCACCAAGUCUGGACGCUGUUAGUUAGUUAGUUGCAUGCCUAGUGAGUAGGAGGAGAGUUCCACGUACAUGCAUGAAUUGAUUGAGCUAGCUCUUAGAGAUAGGAUUAGCAGUGGACUUGGUAAUCACCCGUUGUGCAGAGAGAUAGAGCACGUCUUCCGUUGCGAGGAGAGUGGCCGAAUGGUGUGGCCGACGUGGUUGCUUGUUCCUAUCUUCUGGCUAGUGGAGAUAAGCAUUCGUGGGCUUGCUGAGUGUAUGUACGUAGCACUAUUUAUAGGCAUUGUAACCAGCUGAGUUCAUUGAGUUGAAUAAGAGAAAAAAGGCACGAAGGUGCGGUGCCAGAAAAAGUCUCUGUGUGUUCUUCUCCAAUGUGUAUAUGUGUGUGUUGAUCCUUGGGCAAAUUCUGUCAUUGUUAAGUUCUGUGUACAUUUCUAAGCAGCGGCCUCGGAACUACCUUCUCUAAAUGUCUGAUGGGUGCUCUGUAUUCAGCUGCCUAUCUGGGAUGGACAGUUGUAUAAAAAAAACUUAGCUUUUCUGUUUCAUCUUUUUAAUGCUGCUUUCCGUCGCUAUUGAAAGUACAUGUGAUGGCAUCUA
Lolium perenne is the source of this 2383-nucleotide long non-coding RNA. RefSeq lists it as uncharacterized. The record is from RefSeq and is a predicted model, not a curated record. Lineage: Eukaryota; Viridiplantae; Streptophyta; Magnoliopsida; Poales; Poaceae.